RNAcentral lists this non-coding RNA (202 nucleotides) under Schnuerera ultunensis. Lineage: Bacteria; Bacillati; Bacillota; Tissierellia; Tissierellales; Tepidimicrobiaceae. The record is from RNAcentral.
AACUUCAUAUCUCUUUUAGGUCACUUAGUUGACUCGCUAAGUGUUAAUAGGGAAGUCCGGUGGAAAUCCGGCGCGGUCCCGCCACUGUAAGCAGGGAGAGACGUUUAGGCCGAAAGGCAGCCACUGUGUACCGUCGUGCAUGGGAAGGUGAACGAAUCGAGGAACUGCAAGCCAGGAGACCUGCCUAAAAGAACGGCAAGUU